This is a small nuclear RNA of Lynx canadensis (Canada lynx), 107 nucleotides long. Lineage: Eukaryota; Metazoa; Chordata; Mammalia; Carnivora; Felidae. The record is from Ensembl.
AUGCUCACUAUGGCAGUACAUAUAUUAAAACUGGAAUGAUACAGAGAAGAUUAGCAAAGCCCCUGUGCAAGGAUGACACACAAAUUCAUGAAGCAUUCCAUAUUUUU